Molecule: ribosomal RNA, 433 nt
Filed under: uncultured bacterium
Lineage: Bacteria
Description: partial 16S ribosomal RNA
Rfam family: Bacterial small subunit ribosomal RNA
Source: RNAcentral
AACGAACGCUGGCGGCAUGCCUAACACAUGCAAGUCGAACGAGACCUUCGGGUCUAGUGGCGCACGGGUGCGUAACGCGUGGGAACCUGCCCUUAGGUUCGGAAUAACUCCCCGAAAGGGGUGCUAAUACCGGAUAAUGUCUUCGGACCAAAGAUUUAUCGCCUUUGGAUGGGCCCGCGUUGGAUUAGCUAGUUGGUAGGGUAAAAGCCUACCAAGGCGACGAUCCAUAGCUGGUCUGAGAGGAUGAUCAGCCACACUGGGACUGAGACACGGCCCAGACUCCUACGGGAGGCAGCAGUGGGGAAUAUUGGACAAUGGGCAAAAGCCUGAUCCAGCAAUGCCGCGUGAGUGAUGAAGGCCUUAGGGUUGUAAAGCUCUUUUACCCGGGAUGAUAAUGACAGUACCGGGAGAAUAAGCGCCGGCUAACUCCGUG